This 769-nucleotide non-coding RNA is filed under the name Torleya grandiforceps. Lineage: Eukaryota; Metazoa; Arthropoda; Insecta; Ephemeroptera; Ephemerellidae. The record is from RNAcentral.
GCCUUCGUUUAGGUUUCUAUAAAUAAAGUUUUAUCUUGGCAGAUGUACUUUCUGUAAGAUUGGUUUACAUGUAAAUGACUGGCCUAAAAGGUAGAGAUUAAUUCGCAGUAUUUGAUAUUAGUAGUCAGGGAGUUCUGGAACUGGUAAAUUUAAAUAGGCUUGGUGGAGUUUGUGCCAGCCACCGCGGUUAGACAAACAAGGCAGGAGAGUAUUAUUGGGAGAAGUUACCUGGGAGAAAGUAUUUAAAGUCUUUAUUUUUAGGUGAAAUUUUAAUGGAGUCUUAAGACUUACCAAGGCAGGAGAAUCUAAAAAGGCUGGGUAGGUAACUAGGAUUAGAGACCCUACUAUCCCAGAGGUCAAGAAGAGCCCAGAGUAGUAAAAGUUAUAGGCUCAAAACUCAAAGAUUUGGCGGUGAUUUAACUGAUCAGAGGAGUUUGUCCCAUAAUCGAUAACCCACGUUUAUGUUACUUGGGCUGGAUACCAGCUUGUAUACCGCCGUCAUCAGGGGAUUUUAAGAAAACAUCUCCAAGAUAUAGAGAAUUGUAUGUCAGGUCAAGGUGCAGUCUAUGCCUAAGGGGAGAUGAACUACAAUAAGCUAAUUUAUACGGAACGAGAAUGAAAAGGUAAGGGAAGGUGGAUUUGGGUGUAAUAAAGGUAAAAUAGCCUUUAUGAUAAAAGCGCUAAAUCGUGCACACAUCGCCCGUCGCUCUCGUAGAUAGAUGAGAUAAGUCGUAACAUAGUAGAUGUACCGGAAGGUGUAUCUAGUUUG